This 433-nucleotide ribosomal RNA is filed under the name uncultured bacterium. RNAcentral describes it as "partial 16S ribosomal RNA". It matches the Rfam family "Bacterial small subunit ribosomal RNA", at positions 29 to 507 of the family's 1533-position model. The record is from RNAcentral.
AACGAACGCUGGCGGCAUGCCUAACACAUGCAAGUCGAACGAGACCUUCGGGUCUAGUGGCGCACGGGUGCGUAACGCGUGGGAACCUGCCCUUAGCUUCGGAAUAACUCCCAGAAAGGGGUGCUAAUACCGGAUAAUGUCUUCGGUCCAAAGAUUUAUCGCCUUUGGAGGGGCCCGCGUUGGAUUAGCUAGUUGGUAGGGUAAAAGCCUACCAAGGCGACGAUCCAUAGCUGGUCAGAGAGGAUGAUCAGCCACACUGGGACUGAGACACGGCCCAGACUCGUACGGGAGGCAGCAGUGGGGAAUAUUGGACAAUGGGCGAAAGCCUGAUCCAGCAAUGCCGCGUGAGUGAUGAAGGCCUUAGGGUUGUAAAGCUCUUUUACCCGGGAUGAUAAUGACAGUACCGGGAGAAUAAGCUCCGGCUAACUCCGUG